GACGAACGCUGGCGGCGUGCUUAACACGUGCAAGUCGUACGGUAAGGCCCUUUCGGGGGUACACGAGUGGCGAACGGGUGAGUAACACGUGAGUAACCUGCCCACAACUUUGGGAUAACGCUAGGAAACUGGUGCUAAUACUGGAUAUGUGCUCCUGCUGCAUGGUGGGGGUUGGAAAGCUCCGGCGGUUGUGGAUGGACUCGCGGCCUAUCAGCUUGUUGGUGGGGUAGUGGCCUACCAAGGCGGCGACGGGUGGCCGGCCUGGGAGGGUGACCGGCCACAUUGGGACUUGGAUACGGCCCAGACUCCUACGGGAGGCAGCAGGGGGGAAUAUUGCACAAUGGGCGCAAGCCUGAUGCAGCAACGCCGCGUGCGGGAUGACGGCCUUCGGGUUGGAAACCGCGUUCAGCAGGGACGAAGCUUUUUGUGACGGUACCUGCAGAAGAAGCACCGGCUAACUACGUG
Molecule: ribosomal RNA, 465 nt
Filed under: uncultured bacterium
Lineage: Bacteria
Description: partial 16S ribosomal RNA
Rfam family: Bacterial small subunit ribosomal RNA
Source: RNAcentral